CAAACCAGAGGAAGACCAGUCCCUCAGCAAACCAGAGGAAGACCAGUCCCUCAGCGAAGCAGAGGAAAACCAGUCCCUCAGCAAACCAGAGGAAGACCAGUCCCUCAGCGAAGCAGAGGAAGACCAGUCCCUCAACGAAGCAGAGGAAGACCAGUCCCUCAACGAAGCAGAGGAAGACCAGUCCCUCAGUGAAUCAGAGGAAGACCAGUCCCUCAACGAAGCAGAGGAAGACCAGUCCGAAGAGAUAUAUAUGAGAAGGACUGCUGUAAGAAAUCUUGUCAGAGCAGUUAUCCAACAGAUUGUUGACAAGACAGAAAACAGCCAUUACCCUUUAAUUCAAUAUAAUUAUAUCUGUGAUCGACUCUUUAAGAAACUCUGGGUUGAAACAAAACCCAGAGUUCUGAAAAUGAGCCCAGAAAAGAUUGCACUCCAGGAGACCACCAUCUUUAAAGACCUGAUGAAGGAGUGCAAAAACGUAGAGUACAUCCUUCUUGUCCUGGAGGCGGGGACCCCAAUACUACAACGAAAUGUCCUGGUAACGAUGGCAAACAGACUACAGCCGCAGUGGAACCCCUUUAAGUCAGUGAGAAAGGCUUUCAGGGAAGUGGUACAAAACCUGCGAGAAAACCUACACAGGCUUAUCAUUUGUAAAUGAGUUACAGCCAAAUGUAAAGCCUGAAACUCAGGAAAAGGACUCAUCCCAGAUGUUUCUCCCAGUUCUCCCAGUUCCCAUCUCCUCUCCCUGCAUGAACAUCAUGGCGUAAACGUUUCCACCUGAGACUCUUUCCAGGUUCCAAGGUGAAGCCAAGGAGUGGCGCAUGCUGUGACUUUCUGCGGCUGCAGCUUAUCCUCUUCACCGUUUUAUUUGUUGGCCGUUCUGAGUUAGCACUUUACA
Molecule: long non-coding RNA, 895 nt
Organism: Gambusia affinis (western mosquitofish)
Lineage: Eukaryota; Metazoa; Chordata; Actinopteri; Cyprinodontiformes; Poeciliidae
Exons: 3
Source: RefSeq, a predicted model, not a curated record